This 440-nucleotide ribosomal RNA is filed under the name uncultured bacterium. RNAcentral's name for it is "partial 16S ribosomal RNA". It matches the Rfam family "Bacterial small subunit ribosomal RNA", at positions 338 to 795 of the family's 1533-position model. The record is from RNAcentral.
CCUACGGGCGGCAGCAGUGGGGAAUAUUGCACAAUGGGGGAAACCCUGAUGCAGCGACGCCGCGUGAGUGAAGAAGUAUUUCGGUAUGUAAAGCUCUAUCAGCAGGGAAGAAAAUGACGGUACCUGAUUAAGAAGCCCCGGCUAACUACGUGCCAGCAGCCGCGGUAAUACGUAGGGGGCAAGCGUUAUCCGGAUUUACUGGGUGUAAAGGGGGCGUUGACGGCAGCACAAGUCUGGAGUGAAAUGCCGGGGCUUAACCCCGGGACUGCUUUGGAAACUGUGCAGCUAGAGUGCAGGAGAGGUAAGUGGAAUUCCUAGUGUAGCGGUGAAAUGCGUAGAUAUUAGGAGGAACACCAGUGGCGAAGGCGGCUUACUGGACUGUAACUGACGUUGAGGCUCGAAAGCGUGGGGAGCAAACAGGAUUAGAUACCCGGGUAGUC